CAUAGCCUCAGGAGAGGGGAACACCAGGACGUGUAGUUACCUGUUCUCCAGGGCUGUCCAAAGGUCUCAGUGGAGAACACAGCGGGCUGAGGUUGAAGAAAGACCUUUGGGAGACAUAUUUCUGGGAUGUGAAAGUGAUUCUCAGCACUGAUGUUACCAUGAGUAUCAGUUGGAGCACAAGGAGCUAUGGUAGUAGGAGUGUUUGGGAGAGCUGGGUCUUGUUUACUUGAGAAAGGGGAACCUUCUGACUUCUUCUGACAUAAAUUAGCCCUGUAGCCAGCUA
RNAcentral lists this long non-coding RNA (283 nucleotides) under Manacus vitellinus (golden-collared manakin). RNAcentral describes it as "lncRNA (ENSMVIG00005019865.1)". The record is from RNAcentral. Lineage: Eukaryota; Metazoa; Chordata; Aves; Passeriformes; Pipridae.